Molecule: long non-coding RNA, 1586 nt
Organism: Gymnodraco acuticeps
Lineage: Eukaryota; Metazoa; Chordata; Actinopteri; Perciformes; Bathydraconidae
Exons: 2
Source: RefSeq, a predicted model, not a curated record
CACAAGACAUGAAAUAUUCUUUUGAGUUUCUCCAGAGACUGUUGAUGAAGUUCCAGCCAGACCAAGCCUCUGUUCGAGUACACGGGCUAAGCAACACACUCUUGAGUUUCCUUUGAUGGAUGGACUGUUUGGACCGAAAAGGAUUGCACUGAGAACAUGUCUUCACAAUGGGCCUGGGUCUUCAGAGGAUCCCUGUGCUGUGGAGGACGUCCCUGCCUCGUUCCUGUGCCUGAGACCCUGUGUCCCUAAAGGACUUUAAUUACACAUGUUACUAUAACUUGGGGGCGGCAGUAGCUCAGUCUGUACACACUUGGCUUGGAAACCGAAGGGUCAUCGGUUCAAGUCCCGAUCGGAGCCUUGUCCUUGAGCAAGGCACCAAACGUACUACUACUAACUACUGCUCCCCGGCGCCAGAACACGUGCAGCCUUUACAUAGUUUGUACAUACAUAUUUGUGUAUACAGUGCAGGACUUUGACUUGCUACGGAGUAUUUUCACAGUGUGAUAUUAGUUAAUGCUCUGAACCCUUCCUCUUCCACUGCUGUCCACAGCUGAGGGACAGGUCCCCCUGUUUGUUGCACAUUACCCAGGGGAGGUCGAGGUGUCAGACAGAGACAAAUGUGGUCCCGCCUGGUUUUGUAUUCAGCAGCAUGUGUUGUCGGUUCUUCAGAGGCUAAUUAACAUAACAGGAUCCCCAGUGAUCCCACUCUGCUCUUCUGUCUAUACACAGCUCCUGUUUCGCUUUACAGCCUGCACAGUGGGGCGCUUCCAACAAGAUGCUGUUGUUUCACUCAACCCCAAAAGUAAACUGGACAGCGUGUGAGAAAGUGUCAUUACGAGUGUGUGUCUUUCUCCAGGUCGAAACCAUUAAAAAGGUCAGUUAAAGCAUGUGUACUGAGUAAUGUCCGGAAACCACACCCAAAAUAAACGCUAAGAUAUCUACAUCUUAGGAUAGAUAUGCCCUUGUUCUAGAAAUACAAAGGCCUACUGAACAAACAACUCAAGUUUAUUUAAAGUAUCAUAACAAGAAAAUUAUAGUGGCUAAUAUGGUGGAUAUAAAAAACCAACAACAUCACUAGAUAUUCUUGAAAUGUUAAAACUUGUAUUGAAUGAUUAAAAUAAGCAGAUUUGAGAUGGUGUUUCCAAAGAUCCGCGCUGCAAAGGUCUGGAGGUCCUUGAAGGAUCCCUGGAGAAUAACCCCGGACACUUGUGUAAACAACAACAACAACCUGACAUUUCUUCUGUAGCAGCUGGAAUCCUUGAAAAGUAUUCAAGGAUUAAUAAAACACUUCCAUGAUUCACAAACCUAUACUGGAAGUUCCCUUAGACUCUGGUUGAAACCUGGAAGCCCUUAAAGAUUCCCUGCAACUCCUCAAGGAUCCCCGGAGAGCAUCAAAGCCCCCUGGAACUCUUUAAAAAUGUCUGGAAUCCCUUUAAGGAUCCAUAGACUUUCCAAGCGAACUGGAAGUCCCUCACAGACAACAGAAACCUUCUCAACCAUACUUAAGCUCCCAGGAUUCCAUAAGGUCUCAGUGGAGCUUGUUUAAAAUUAUUUUGUACAUCAAUAAAAGUAAUGAUCCAUUUUUC